RNAcentral lists this ribosomal RNA (96 nucleotides) under Klebsiella quasipneumoniae. Its description in RNAcentral is "partial 23S rRNA. Bacterial LSU". It matches the Rfam family "Bacterial large subunit ribosomal RNA", at positions 2831 to 2925 of the family's 2925-position model. The record is from RNAcentral. Lineage: Bacteria; Pseudomonadati; Pseudomonadota; Gammaproteobacteria; Enterobacterales; Enterobacteriaceae.
AGGAACGUUGAAGACGACGACGUUGAUAGGCCGGGUGUGUAAGCGCAGCGAUGCGUUGAGCUAACCGGUACUAAUGAACCGUGAGGCUUAACCUUA